Molecule: microRNA precursor, 96 nt
Filed under: Schmidtea mediterranea
Lineage: Eukaryota; Metazoa; Platyhelminthes; Tricladida; Dugesiidae
Description: microRNA sme-mir-2162 precursor
Source: miRBase by way of RNAcentral
UGGCGUAGUCUAUGGUGUAUUGUGCUUAUUUGUAUAUUGCACUGUUAAUCUUUUGUAUUAUGCAAAUAUUCACAAUUUGACCAAGCUUAAACAUCC